This 445-nucleotide ribosomal RNA is filed under the name uncultured bacterium. RNAcentral describes it as "partial 16S ribosomal RNA". It matches the Rfam family "Bacterial small subunit ribosomal RNA", at positions 354 to 796 of the family's 1533-position model. The record is from RNAcentral.
GUGAGGAAUAUUGGUCAAUGGAGGCAACUCUGAACCAGCCAUGCCGCGUGCAGGAAGACGGCCCUCUGGGUUGUAAACUGCUUUUAUCUGGGAAUAAACCUGCUUACGUGUAAGUAGCUGAAUGUACCAGAAGAAUAAGGAUCGGCUAACUCCGUGCCAGCAGCCGCGGUAAUACGGAGGAUCCAAGCGUUAUCCGGAUUUAUUGGGUUUAAAGGGUGCGUAGGCGGCCUGUUAAGUCAGGGGUGAAAGACGGUGGCUCAACCAUCGCAGUGCCCUUGAUACUGAUGGGCUUGAAUGGACUAGAGGUAGGCGGAAUGAGACAAGUAGCGGUGAAAUGCAUAGAUAUGUCUCAGAACACCGAUUGCGAAGGCAGCUUACUAUGGUCUUAUUGACGCUGAGGCACGAAAGCGUGGGGAUCGAACAGGAUUAGAAACCCCAGUAGUCC